This 253-nucleotide ribosomal RNA is filed under the name uncultured bacterium. RNAcentral's name for it is "partial 16S ribosomal RNA". It matches the Rfam family "Bacterial small subunit ribosomal RNA", at positions 524 to 776 of the family's 1533-position model. The record is from RNAcentral.
UACAGAGGGUGCGAGCGUUGUUCGGAAUUACUGGGCGUAAAGGGUCUGUAGGUGGCUUGCUAAGUCAGACGUGAAAUCCCUCAGCUUAACUGGGGAACUGCGUCUGAGACUGGCGAGCUUGAGUGCAGGAGAGGAACGCGGAAUUCCACGUGUAGCAGUGAAAUGCGUAGAGAUGUGGAGGAACACCGAUGGCGAAGGCAGCCCCCUGGGCUAACACUGACGCUCAUGCACGAAAGCGUGGGGAGCAAACAGG